Molecule: ribosomal RNA, 467 nt
Filed under: uncultured bacterium
Lineage: Bacteria
Description: partial 16S ribosomal RNA
Rfam family: Bacterial small subunit ribosomal RNA
Source: RNAcentral
GAUGAACGCUGGCGGCGUGCUUAACACAUGCAAGUCGAACGGAAAGGCCCAAGCUUGCUUGGGUACUCGAGUGGCGAACGGGUGAGUAACACGUGGGUGAUCUGCCCUGCACUUCGGGAUAAGCCUGGGAAACUGGGUCUAAUACCGGAUAGGACCACUUCUUGGAUGUUGUGGUGGAAAGUUUUUUCGGUGUGGGAUGAGCUCGCGGCCUAUCAGCUUGUUGGUGGGGUAAUGGCCUACCAAGGCGUCGACGGGUAGCCGGCCUGAGAGGGUGUACGGCCACAGUGGGACUGAGAUACGGCCCAGACUCCGACGGGAGGCAGCAGUGGGGAAUAUUGCACAAUGGGCGCAAGCCUGAUGCAGCGACGCCGCGUGGGGGAUGACGGCCUUCGGGUUGUAAACUCCUUUCGCUAGGGACGAAGCGUUUUGUGACGGUACCUGGAGAAGAAGCACCGGCUAACUACGUG